This 241-nucleotide non-coding RNA is filed under the name Bacillus sp. CECT 9360. RNAcentral describes it as "T-box". It matches the Rfam family "T-box leader". Rfam says of the family: Uncharged tRNA acts as the effector for transcription antitermination of genes in the T-box leader family. The record is from RNAcentral. Lineage: Bacteria; Bacillati; Bacillota; Bacilli; Caryophanales; Bacillaceae.
UUAGAACCGAUGAUGGGGAAUAGUAAUUAAGAUUACACAUGAAAAGAGAGGAAAUGCCGCUGGCUGAAAACAUUUCCGCAUGUGCCUUAAUGAAAGAACACUCCGUAGGCUUCGCUCUGAAAAGGAGGAAUCCCCCUUAGUAGGAGAUGAACGUAAGCAGGCGUUAACUGUACUUGAGCGGAAGCAUGCUAGCAUGCUUCAAUUAGGGUGGCACCACGGGAAUACAACUCUCGUCCCUUGU